RNAcentral lists this transfer RNA (78 nucleotides) under Desulfarculus sp. RNAcentral describes it as "tRNA-Gly". It matches the Rfam family "tRNA". From Rfam's summary of the family: Transfer RNA (tRNA) molecules are approximately 80 nucleotides in length. Lineage: Bacteria; Pseudomonadati; Thermodesulfobacteriota; Desulfarculia; Desulfarculales; Desulfarculaceae. RNAcentral also lists the same sequence under 1 other name. The record is from RNAcentral.
GCGGGAGUAGCUCAGUCCGGCCAGAGCGUCAGCCUUCCAAGCUGAGGGUCGCGGGUUCGAAUCCCGUCUCCCGCUCCA